RNAcentral lists this ribosomal RNA (241 nucleotides) under uncultured bacterium. Its description in RNAcentral is "partial 16S ribosomal RNA". It matches the Rfam family "Bacterial small subunit ribosomal RNA", at positions 1261 to 1500 of the family's 1533-position model. The record is from RNAcentral.
GGUGGAGCAAAACUCAAAAACUUGUCUCAGUUCGGAUUGUAGGCUGAAACUCGCCUACAUGAAGCUGGAGUUGCUAGUAAUCGCGAAUCAGCAUGUCGCGGUGAAUACGUUCCCGGGCCUUGUACACACCGCCCGUCACACCAUGAGAGUUGGCAAUACCCAACGUACGUGAUCUAACCCGCAAGGGAGGAAGCGUCCUAAGGUAGGGUCAGCGAUUGGGGUGAAGUCGUAACAAGGUACC